Molecule: ribosomal RNA, 879 nt
Filed under: Triticum aestivum (bread wheat)
Lineage: Eukaryota; Viridiplantae; Streptophyta; Magnoliopsida; Poales; Poaceae
Description: partial small subunit ribosomal RNA
Source: RNAcentral
AUGGGCGCCGCCGUGAUGGAGCAGCGACGCGGCGGCAAGCCCAAGGUGGUGUUCGUGCUGGGCGCGACAUCCACAGGCAAGUCCAAGCUUGCCAUCGCCCUGGCGGCGCUCUUCGGCGGCGAGGUGAUCAACUCUGACAAGAUCCAGGUGUACGCUGGCCUCCCAGUGAUCACCAACAAGGUGACGGACGAGGAGUGCGCGGGUGUGCCGCACCACCUCCUCGGCUGCGUGCCGUGCCCCGACGCUGAUUUCACUGUCGACGACUUCUGCCGGGAGGCGACUGACGCGAUCAAGCGCGUUCUCUCCCGCGGCGGCCUCCCCGUGGUGGCCGGCGGCUCCAACCGGUACGUCGAGGCGCUCGUCGACGGAGACGGCGGCGCCUUCCGCUCCUCCCAUGACUGCCUCUUCGUCUGGCUGGACGCCGCGCCGGAAGUCCUCCGCCGCUCCACGGCCGUACGGGUGGACGACAUGGUGCGGCGGGGGCUCGUGGAGGAGGCCCGCGCGGCGUUCGACCCGGACGCCAGCUACACCCGGGGCGUGCGCCGCGCCAUCGGCCUGCCGGAGAUGGACGCGUACCUGCGACGCGCGAGCGACGGCGAUGAUGACGGCACAGCCGCGAUGCUGGGGAGAGCGGUGGAGGAGAUCAAGGUUAACACGUUCGGGCUGGUGCUGGAGCAGGUGGAGAAGAUCCGGCGGUUGAGCACGCUGGAGGGGUGGGACGUCCGGCGGGUGGACUGCACAGAGGUGCUGGCGCGGACGGCGGACGGCGAAGGGGUGCAGGAGCUAUGGAGGAAGGUUGUCUGGGAGCCCGUCGAGGACAUGGUGCGGACGUUCGUCAUCGCGGAGAAGAGCGGUGGGAAGAUCAACCUGCUGCCCUAG